AGUCCCUACGGGAGGCAGCAGUGAGGAAUAUUGGUCAAUGGGCUUACGCCUGAACCAGCCAAGUCGCGUGAGGGAAGACUGCCCUAUGGGUUGUAAACCUCUUUUGUCAGGGAGCAACGCCGGCUACGUGUAGCCGGACUGAGAGUACCUGAAGAAAAAGCAUCGGCUAACUCCGUGCGAGCAGCCGCGGGAAUACAGAGGAUGCGAGCGUUAUCCGGAUUUAUUGGGUUUAAAGGGGGGGGAGGCGGAAUGCCAAGU
Molecule: ribosomal RNA, 258 nt
Filed under: uncultured bacterium
Lineage: Bacteria
Description: partial 16S ribosomal RNA
Rfam family: Bacterial small subunit ribosomal RNA
Source: RNAcentral